AACGCGAAGAACCUUACCAGCUCUUGACAUGGAAGUCGCGAGUCUGAGAGAUCAGACUUUUCGGUUCGGCCGGACUUCGCACAGGUGGUGCAUGGCUGUCGUCAGCUCGUGUCGUGAGAUGUUGGGUUAAGUCCUUUAACGGGCGCAACCCCUAUCUUUAGUUGCUAACAGGUUAAGCUGAGAACUUUAAAGAGACUGCCAGUGAUAAACUGGAGGAAGGUGGGGAUGAUGUCAAGUCCUCAUGCCCCUUAUGAGCUGGGCUACACACGUGCUACAAUGGCGGCUACAAUAGGUUGCAAUGGAGUGAUCCGGAGCCAAUCCUUGAAAAGCCGUCUCAGUUCGGAUUGUUCUCUGCAACUCGAGAACAUGAAGUUGGAAUCGCUAGUAAUCGCAGAUCAGCACGCUGCGGUGAAUACGUUCCCGGGCCUUGUACACACCGGUAUCUC
RNAcentral lists this ribosomal RNA (446 nucleotides) under uncultured bacterium. RNAcentral's name for it is "bacterial SSU rRNA". It matches the Rfam family "Bacterial small subunit ribosomal RNA", at positions 958 to 1400 of the family's 1533-position model. The record is from RNAcentral.